UUAAGUUCAGCGGGUAUCCCUACCUGAUCCGAGGUCAAAAACUAAGAAUGGGGGGGUUGCGGCAGAAGCGCUCACGUUUCCAUCACGAGAAUAAAUUACUACGCUUUGGUUGCGUGGCUCUUCGCCAUUGAAUUUCGCAGAGGAAGCUGACGCCUCCAACGCAAGACCAACCAAUGAUAAAUCAGAGAUUGAGGUUUUUG
This 200-nucleotide unclassified non-coding RNA is filed under the name uncultured fungus. RNAcentral's name for it is "sequence contains ITS2". Lineage: Eukaryota; Fungi. The record is from RNAcentral.